RNAcentral lists this ribosomal RNA (497 nucleotides) under uncultured bacterium. RNAcentral describes it as "partial 16S ribosomal RNA". It matches the Rfam family "Bacterial small subunit ribosomal RNA", at positions 28 to 507 of the family's 1533-position model. The record is from RNAcentral.
GAUGAACGCUGGCGGCGUGCCUAAUACAUGCAAGUCGAACGCAUAGCGAAAGGUGCUUGCACCUUUCAAGUGAGUGGCGAACGGGUGAGUAACACGUGGACAACCUGCCUCAAGGCUGGGGAUAACAUUUGGAAACAGAUGCUAAUACCGAAUAAAACUUAGUGUCGCAUGACACAAAGUUAAAAGGCGCUUCGGCGUCACCUAGAGAUGGAUCCGCGGUGCAUUAGUUAGUUGGUGGGGUAAAGGCCUACCAAGACAAUGAUGCAUAGCCGAGUUGAGAGACUGAUCGGCCACAUUGGGACUGAGACACGGCCCAAACUCCUACGGGAGGCUGCAGUAGGGAAUCUUCCACAAUGGGCGAAAGCCUGAUGGAGCAACGCCGCGUGUGUGAUGAAGGCUUUCGGGUCGUAAAGCACUGUUGUACGGGAAGAACAGCUAGAAUAGGAAAUGAUUUUAGUUUGACGGUACCAUACCAGAAAGGGACGGCUAAAUACGUG